AUGUGUGGAGGAGUGCCAAACCGGUGAUUUGGCCAAGAAGACCAGUAUUCGAGUGCAGAGAUGCUUGCUACAUCUCCUACCUGGCGUUCUUUUCUUUCCUUGUUUCCAGCAGUGUCUAGAUAUCUCAAUGAGGGCAUACGGCGAGAGGAGUGAGACCCAUCUUCUUUGAGGUCGGUGGGCACCUCUCAUGCAGGUGGAUAUUGAGCUUCUGUGAGAAUUUUGUCCUUUGCUGGAGUGUGGUCGUCUUGAUA
RNAcentral lists this long non-coding RNA (251 nucleotides) under Homo sapiens (human). RNAcentral describes it as "HSALNT0259423". Lineage: Eukaryota; Metazoa; Chordata; Mammalia; Primates; Hominidae. The record is from RNAcentral.